This 249-nucleotide ribosomal RNA is filed under the name uncultured Actinomycetales bacterium. Its description in RNAcentral is "partial 16S ribosomal RNA". It matches the Rfam family "Bacterial small subunit ribosomal RNA", at positions 82 to 334 of the family's 1533-position model. The record is from RNAcentral. Lineage: Bacteria; Bacillati; Actinomycetota; Actinomycetes; Actinomycetales.
CGGAGGUACCCGAGUGGCGAACGGGUGAGUAACACGUGGGUGAUCUGCCCUGCACUCUGGGAUAAGCCUGGGAAACUGGGUCUAAUACCGGAUAGGACCAUGCUUUAGUGUGUGUGGUGGAAAGUUUUUUCGGUGUAGGAUGAGCCCGCGGCCUAUCAGCUUGUUGGCGGGGUAAUGGCCUACCAAGGCGGCGACGGGUAGCCGGACUGAGAGGUUGGUCGGCCACAUUGGGACUGAGAUACGGCCCAG